RNAcentral lists this ribosomal RNA (562 nucleotides) under Nonomuraea sp. 384H05. RNAcentral's name for it is "bacterial SSU rRNA". It matches the Rfam family "Bacterial small subunit ribosomal RNA", at positions 93 to 671 of the family's 1533-position model. The record is from RNAcentral. Lineage: Bacteria; Bacillati; Actinomycetota; Actinomycetes; Streptosporangiales; Streptosporangiaceae.
GAGCGGCGAACGGGUGAGUAACACGUGAGCAACCUGCCCCUGACUCUGGGAUAAGCCCGGGAAACUGGGUCUAAUACCGGAUACGACCGCCCCCGGCAUCGGGUGGUGGUGGAAAGUUUUUUCGGUUGGGGAUGGGCUCGCGGCCUAUCAGCUUGUUGGUGGGGUAGUGGCCUACCAAGGCGACGACGGGUAGCCGGCCUGAGAGGGCGACCGGCCACACUGGGACUGAGACACGGCCCAGACUCCUACGGGAGGCAGCAGUGGGGAAUAUUGCGCAAUGGGCGGAAGCCUGACGCAGCGACGCCGCGUGGGGGAUGACGGCCUUCGGGUUGUAAACCUCUUUCAGCAGGGACGAAGUUGACGUGUACCUGCAGAAGAAGCGCCGGCUAACUACGUGCCAGCAGCCGCGGUAAUACGUAGGGCGCAAGCGUUGUCCGGAAUUAUUGGGCGUAAAGAGCUCGUAGGUGGNUGGUCGCGUCUGCCGUGAAAGCCCGCAGCUUAACUGCGGGUCUGCGGUGGAUACCGGGCCGGCUAGAGGUAGGUAGGGNCAAGUGGAAUUCCU